UACGGAGGGUCCAAGCGUUAUCCGGAAUCAUUGGGUUUAAAGGGUCCGUAGGCGGGAUGAUAAGUCAGUGGUGAAAUCUCUCGGCUUAACCGAGAAACUGCCAUUGAUACUGUCGUUCUUGAAUUUGGUCGAAGUGGGCGGAAUAAGUAGUGUAGCGGUGAAAUGCAUAGAUAUUACUUAGAACACCGAUAGUGAAGACAGCUCACUAGGCCUGAAUUGACGCUGAGGGACGAAAGCGUGGGGAGCGAAC
This 250-nucleotide ribosomal RNA is filed under the name uncultured bacterium. RNAcentral describes it as "partial 16S ribosomal RNA". It matches the Rfam family "Bacterial small subunit ribosomal RNA", at positions 524 to 773 of the family's 1533-position model. The record is from RNAcentral.